CCAAAAAAAUAGUCGUGCGUUGGGCGGCGUCUGUGGCUCAAAGGGGUAGGGUGCCAGCCCCAUAUGCCGGAGGCGGCAGGUUCAAACCCAGUCCCGGCCAAACACUGCAAAAAAAAAAAAAAAAAAAAAGUCGGGCUUUGUGGCGGGCGCCUGUACUUCUAGCUACUUGGAGGCUGAGGCAAGAGAAUAAACCCAGGAGUUGGAGGUUGCUGUGAGCUGUGAUGCCACGGCACUCUACCGAGGGCGAUAAAGUGAGACUCAGUCUCUACAAAAAGAAAAAAAAAUAAUAAUAAUAAAUAAAAUAACCUCCUCUGAAAAGUCUGGGAAACGAAAAGAAUUCAGUGAAAGACAUAUAUCCAAGUAGCUGAAGAGGGCAGCUUGGGGAAUUUGCCUGAUAGUAUCAGAAUGGAGCCACCACGACGAGGAAGGGUGACAACCACCCUACAGAUAAACUCAAUCCAGCUAUCUCCUAAAUGUCCACGCAUGUCACCCUCCGGGUGACAGUCAGCAAUCCACCUAAUAGCUUCCCUUUUGCCACCAGGAGGUGCCGUUGGACCACAGUUGAAUCUUGAAUGCUGUAAAGUACCGGGAAACUCGCGGUUGCCUAAAUCUCCUGCAGCCUGGUGCGGACGAGAAGCCCAUCCCACCGCAAAACGAGAAACCUCUCCGGACCUCUCCACCAAAUGUUCCUUUGGCAUGCUCACCCUGGACACACAAUUAUAACUUUUAUUUUGUCGAGAGAAAAACAGCCCACGUAGACACACGAACAAACAAAACGUGACUAAGUGUAACGUAGGCAGAAAUGCCUUAGACCCGCCCCGGUUCUUCCAGAUCAUCUUUCUGCUCCUUGGUUCUGUUUCCUCACCCACGUUUGCAAUGAAAAUAUUUAAACUUACGUCUAAAGAGCUACAAAAAAAAAAAGACUAAGUUUGCUUAAAACGUGGCGCGCCUAUAUUUUUGAAAUGCUGCCCCAACUCGACGCAGGGACUGGCCAGCCCGCUAAGAAAGCCCCUUUUCAGGAGGCCCAGGCAGAUAACCCUUUGUCAUCAGCUCCCCUACCCCCGCAGUUGGUCCAAUAGCACGACCCAUUGUGAUGGUUACCGACUCCCUCGGGCUUCCCACUUCACCGGGACAGUGGUUGCGUCCAGGGCCCUUCAGACUCAAGAGUGGCGACCCCUUCUCAGGCAGUGAUUGGCCAGCCCGGGCUGGGGGUGGGCUGACCUCCGCUCCGCCGUGGCGUCACCCGCUGGCCCCGCCCCCGCGCUGGGCAACCAUUUGUGUGCGGCCGCGGGAUUGGCCGCCCCGUUCCCGCGGGGGGAGGGGGAGGUGGCAGCGCGCACUCGCGCGUGCGUGAGCGGGCGCGCGAGGAAGGGCCCGGUCGCGCCGAGGCUCGAGCGGCCGUCGCCAUUUUGUAGGGUUCUCUCUGACGCGGGAGCCGCCGCCACCGCCGCCGCCACCCAGAGGCUCUUGUCAGGAUGGUGAAGCUGUUCAUCGGAAACCUGCCCCGGGAGGCCACAGAGCAGGAGAUCCGCUCACUCUUCGAGCAGUAUGGGAAAGUGCUGGAAUGUGACAUCAUUAAGAACUACGGCUUUGUGCACAUAGAGGACAAGACAGCCGCGGAGGAUGCCAUACGCAACCUGCACCACUACAAGCUUCAUGGGGUGAACAUCAACGUGGAAGCCAGCAAGAAUAAGAGCAAAGCUUCAACCAAGUUACAUGUGGGCAACAUCAGUCCCACCUGCACCAACCAAGAGCUUAGGGCCAAGUUUGAGGAGUAUGGUCCAGUCAUUGAAUGUGACAUUGUUAAAGAUUAUGCCUUCGUACACAUGGAGCGGGCAGAGGAUGCAGUGGAGGCCAUCAGGGGCCUUGACAACACAGAGUUUCAAGGCAAAAGAAUGCACGUGCAGUUGUCCACAAGUCGGCUUCGGACUGCCCCUGGGAUGGGAGAUCAGAGUGGCUGCUAUCGGUGUGGGAAAGAGGGGCACUGGUCCAAAGAGUGCCCUGUAGAUCGUACAGGCCGCGUGGCAGACUUUACUGAGCAGUACAAUGAACAGUAUGGAGCAGUCCGCACAUCUUACACCAUGGGCUACGGGGAGUCCGUGUACUACAACGAUGCUUAUGGCGCCCUCGACUACUAUAAGCGUUACCGGGUUCGCUCUUAUGAGGCGGUGGCAGCGGCUGCGGCAGCUUCUGCAUACAAUUAUGCAGAACAGACCAUGUCCCAUCUGCCUCAAGUCCAAAGCACAGCAGUGACCAGCCACCUCAACUCCACUUCUGUUGAUCCCUACGACAGACACCUAUUGCCGAAUUCUGGCUCUGCUGCCACCUCAGCUGCUAUGGCUGCUGCUGCUGCCACCUCUUCAUCCUAUUAUGGAAGGGACAGGAGUCCACUGCGGCGUGCUGCAGCUGUGCUCCCCACAGUUGGAGAGGGCUACGGUUAUGGGCCAGAGAGUGAGUUAUCUCAGGCUUCAGCAGCUGCACGGAGUUCUCUGUAUGACAUGGCCCGGUAUGAGCGGGAGCAGUAUGUGGACCGAGCACGGUACUCAGCCUUUUAGAAACUGGAGGUGUGAACCUCAAAUGGACUGAAUAACCCUGAGUUGGUUGUAGUCCCAGGAGCCUGAUGUUAAUGAGGCUGCCAGAAUGAAAUACUCCAGAACUGUUGGGGAUCCAAAUUCGGGUCUCACCUUAGCAGAACUGAUCCAACAACGUCACAGCUUUUGAAGUCGAUUGGCACAGAUCAAGACCAGGAUUUGGCCCUUUGUCUGUAAUAUGUAGAGGAACUUGGACAAGACCAGGGCCCUUGUACUCGGAGCCAGGCCACUCUCCCGGCAUUGUGUAAGCCUCUUGUGUUGUGCUCUCUUUCAGGUAGGAUAAUUGCGGACUGAACCCUCGGGCUGCGGUCAUAUAUGAGAACUUGCUCCGUGCGGUUCCCUUUGCCGGGAUGUUUUCAUUGCUUCAUGUUUCAGUAAACAAAGGAGUUUGUCACCAACUAUGUUUUCUUUCUUAAUUUAAUUCUUCUCGGUUGACUUUUCUUUCUUCUUGAUACUAGUCUGUAGCGUUUCAUUCUGUUCCUUAUAUUCUCAGCCUCUGAGCAGCACUAGGUAAGGACUGUGCUGGCAUCCCCUUUUUCCUGUGCAAUGGAAGCUCUCUUAUCUUGCUUUCCUUAGGAUUUGAACCCUUCUCCCUGCAGCUGCAUCUCCUUCCCCUUUAAAAUGACCAUGUAGUGGCAAGCAGCCUUUUACUCUUCUCUGUUAGCUCUGGACUCUUAACACUGAAGCUAAUCUUCUGAAAUUGCUAGGACCAUUGGGGGGUUUGUUGUUUUAUGUCUGACCUGUGAUCGUGGUACAGCAUUAGCUGAAAUUUAGCUUUGUUUUACUCUACUCCUUCCACUUUUUUUUUUAUUUUUUGACAAAUAAAAGUUUCUAACUCUU
Molecule: RNA transcript, 3431 nt
Organism: Nycticebus coucang (slow loris)
Lineage: Eukaryota; Metazoa; Chordata; Mammalia; Primates; Lorisidae
Gene: RBM4B
Gene name: RNA binding motif protein 4B
Exons: 5
Source: RefSeq, a predicted model, not a curated record